ACAAUAUUAACAAGGUUCUCCCAUUCCCAGGGGUUAAAUUCGCCUUCUCAAUCUACGACUUUGAAGGCAAUGGUACCAUGGAUGCCUAUUACAUUGGUGACUGUCUGAGGGCCCUGAACUUGAACCCAACUCUGGCUGUCAUAGAGAAAGUAGGAGGCAAAGAUAAGAGAAAGGAGAAGAUCAUUAAACUGGAUGAUUUUCUGCCUAUCUUUGCUCAGGUGAAGAAAGAUAAGGAUGCUGGAUCUUACGAGGACUUUAUGGAAGUCUUGAAGCUGUAUGAUAAGGCUGAGAAUGGUACCAUGAUGUAUGCUGAGCUGGAGCACAUAUUGAUGUCACUGGGAGAGCGCCUUGAGAAGUCAGAACUUGAACCAGUGUUGAAGGAGUGUUGCAACGAGGAAGAUGAGGAUGGUUUCAUUCCUUACGAACCUUUUCUUACCAAACUCUGCAAAGAUAUCAAGUAGAGUCCCGUCUCUGACCUUCCUAAAGAGAGUUUUGGCCUUCAAAAUCUAAAUCAAAAUGGGUCAUUUCUACUUUCCUCAAAAAGAUGACCCAACUCCUGUAAGAAAUUCAUCUAAGAUCAUAAUACGUAUUAUCUCGUGGCCUGACAGCAACACAGCAUCACCACCGCUCUUAUGACUGUCUACAGUGUACAUUUAUUCUGUGGCUACAUCAACCCACAGACAAUAUAUAAAUUAUCAUUAUAGGCCUAAAAUGCUGGAAAAAAUUGAUGGAAAUUGAAAAAAUGAGAUUUUUUUAGUUAUAAGUGAGAAAGUGAACCUGCCCUGCUGUUCUCAUGGCUGUUUUGGUAAGGUUGGAGGCCUCUGUGGAGCUUUUGGAUAGGCCUAUCUUCCUCCAGGCCGGGGUAGGACACGGGGUAUAGCUGGGCACAGCCUAUUAACCUGAAGUGAACACUGAAUCCGCAAAUAUUAGACCCAAACCGUUGCCAUCCGGAGGGGGAACGCCCACUGCCACCAUGGGCACUAGUACCCAGGGUAUCCCUAGCUACCAGCACCAUCUCUGGGCAUGCCUAGGGGCCCCUGAGUAUUCCAGGGUAUCCCUAGCUACCAUCACUACCCCUGGGCUUGCCUGGAGGGCCCCCAGGGUACUCACCAUCACAGCAGUGCCCUGCCUGGCCCCUAACCUACCCUACCUGGGGUAUUGUCUUAGUCAGUCAGUCAGCAACAAGGCUCUGUCAGCCGUCAGUCAAGUCAGUCAAGUCUUUGUUUCACCUGCUGACUUAAGGCAACAUUAACUAUGUUCUUCAAUAAAACUAAUAACCAAAAAAUGACUUUCCUUUAUUACCCACUAAUACAUUUUUUAUUAAAUUAUAAAACUUUGUAAUAAAAA
Molecule: non-coding RNA, 1347 nt
Organism: Cherax quadricarinatus
Lineage: Eukaryota; Metazoa; Arthropoda; Malacostraca; Decapoda; Parastacidae
Source: RefSeq, a predicted model, not a curated record